This 205-nucleotide unclassified non-coding RNA is filed under the name Hevea brasiliensis (rubber tree). Lineage: Eukaryota; Viridiplantae; Streptophyta; Magnoliopsida; Malpighiales; Euphorbiaceae. The record is from RNAcentral.
UGGGGGCUCUCCAAAAGGCAAGGCAUCGUUCUCAAAGAAGUCGUCAAAAUCACCGAACUCAGAAAGAAGAGCUUGGAUAUUAAUCCCCAUACCUCUAUCAUCAUCAUCCCAAUCUAAUUGAGAUCCAAUCUGCUCGUUUGCAACCCCUGUGAUGGCUGAAUUGCCAACUUCAAAAGAACCAAAAUCAGACUUGUACACGUCUUGC